UGAUAAGAUCAGCCAUAUUGAAGACCAUGU
Molecule: non-coding RNA, 30 nt
Filed under: Mus musculus (house mouse)
Lineage: Eukaryota; Metazoa; Chordata; Mammalia; Rodentia; Muridae
Source: RNAcentral